GCCGGGGCGGUAGCGGUGCCCUGUACUUGCAAUCCGCUAUAGCAAGGGUUAUAUCUCUAUUGAGGGUCAUACUUUCCGUGUAGUACCUUUUGAGCAAUGUUGAGGAGUGGGUCUUGCGCAAUAUGCGCCUGUGAACCUGGUCAGGUGAGGAAUCAAGCAGCCAUAAGCAGUGAUUGCAUAUGUGCCGCGAGAGUGCCCGCUCUGAGUUGUCUCAAUUGAUAAACGCCCGGGGAGCAUGAUUCG
This 243-nucleotide signal recognition particle RNA is filed under the name pig gut metagenome. RNAcentral's name for it is "Bacterial large signal recognition particle RNA". It matches the Rfam family "Bacterial large signal recognition particle RNA". Rfam says of the family: The signal recognition particle (SRP) is a universally conserved ribonucleoprotein involved in the co-translational targeting of proteins to membranes. Archaeal SRP consists of a 7S RNA and homologues of the eukaryotic SRP19 and SRP54 proteins. The record is from RNAcentral.